GAUGAACGCUAGCGGCAGGCCUAACACAUGCAAGUCGAGGGGUAGCAGGAUUAAGCUUGCUUAAUUGCUGACGACCGGCGCACGGGUGCGUAACGCGUAUGCAACCUACCUUAUACUGGGGUAUAGCCCGGAGAAAUUCGGAUUAAUCCCCCAUAGUACUAAUGAAUCGCAUGGUUUAUUAGUUAAAGCAUUGCGGUAUAAGAUGGGCAUGCGUCCUAUUAGCUAGAUGGUGAGGUAACGGCUCACCAUGGCUACGAUAGGUAGGGGGCCUGAUGGGGUGGGCAGCCACACUGGGACGUCAACACGGAACAGACUCCUACGGGAGGCAGCAGUGAGGAAUAUUGGGGAAUGGGCGCAAGCCUGAACCAGCCAUGCCGCGUGCAGGAAGAAUGCCCUAUGGGUUGUAAACUGCUUUUAUUUGGGAAUAAACCUCUUUACGUGUAGAGAGCUGAAGGUACCAAAUGAAUAAGCACCGGCUAACUCCGUGCAAGCCGCCGCGGUAA
RNAcentral lists this ribosomal RNA (503 nucleotides) under uncultured bacterium. RNAcentral's name for it is "partial 16S ribosomal RNA". It matches the Rfam family "Bacterial small subunit ribosomal RNA", at positions 28 to 523 of the family's 1533-position model. The record is from RNAcentral.